Molecule: ribosomal RNA, 1233 nt
Filed under: metagenome
Description: bacterial SSU rRNA
Rfam family: Eukaryotic small subunit ribosomal RNA
Source: RNAcentral
CUUCCGCAUUCAACACAUGCAUAUGCCCCUGUCCGUGGAGGUUACUGUGAACAAAACAGCGUGUCCAAAGCAACCACGUGUCUGGCUGAAUGAUCUAGCAUGGAAUAACAAGGCAUCGACCACUGGAGUCAGCCUUUUUGUUGGUUUUACAUGACCCAGUUGGGCAAUGCAGGGCUUGUGCUUCAUUGAGGUUCUUAGUCAGCUCUACCGAACUGUCUUCCCUCAGUUGGUCCUUGUUCCCUAUCGGGAUCAAUGGAAGCCAUCGGGGUGGUAUGUAUUCCGACGUGAGCGGUGAAAUGCUUAGACCGUUGGAAGACAAACGACAGCGAAGGCAUUCCGCCAGAAUGUUUUCAUUAAUCAAGAACGAGAGUGUGGGGAUCGAAGAUGAUCAGAUACCAUCGUAGUCCAUUACCGUAAACUAUGCCAACUCGGCAUUGGGAGUCUGUUCACUUUGAAGACUCUCCCAGCAUCAUCCCCCAAUAACGAGAAAUCCAAGUCUAUGGGUUCAGGGGGGAGUACAGUCGCAAGGCUGAAACUUAAAGGAAUUGACGGAAUGACACCACAAGGCGUGGAGUAUGCGGCUUAAUUUGACCCAACACGGGGAAGCUUACCAGGUCAGACACAGUAAGGAUUGACAGAUUGAGAGCUCUUUCUUGAUCCUAUGGAUGGUGGUGCAUGGCCGUUUCUGGUUCGUGGAGUGAUCUGUCUGCUUAAUUGCGAUAACGAACGAGAUCUCUACCUCUAAAUAGGCGCCGGUCCCGCAUGUAAGUAGGGAUGUGUUGGGGGCCUUCGUGUCCCCUCAUGUCCUGAGAGUGCCGGGAUCGCUUCUUAGACGGACUGUGCAUGUCUUUAAUGCACGGAAGAGGGAGUCAAUAGCAGGUCUGUGAUGCUCCUAGAUGUCCUGGGCUGCACGCGCACUACACUGGCACAGUAAACGAGUUGCACCUGCUUCGGCAGUCCUGCUUAGAAGUGAGCGUGGGAAAUCUUAGAAAACUGUGCCGUGCUGGGGAUAGAUGAUUGCGAUUAUUUGUCUUGAACGAGGAAUGCCUAGUAGAGGUACUUCAUCAGAGUACCUUGAUUGUGUCCCUGCCAUUUGUACACACCGCCCGUCGUUGCUACCGAUUGGCUGUAAAAUAGAGGCCUUAAGAGUCGCUUCCGCAAAGCUUUGCUUUUGAGGUUGUGACAAAUCUGGCCAAUAUUUCAUUGCUAGAGGAAGCAAAAGUCGUAACAAGG